AGCCUGAGUGCCUGUCGCACCUCGCCAAGACGGUCGAAGAUGGGUAGAAAAGUUCAUCGGAACCUGGUCGCUGCAGCAGUUCUUGUACAGGAAUCGAUCGCAGUUGUGGCUUGCGACAAGGAAAACUCCUCAUGCGAUGACUGGUGCCAAAAUAACGACGUUACAACACAAUGAGGAGCAUCUCCUUAUAAUCAACAGGGAGGAUGUCUACGUCUGAUAGUUUUCGAACCGGAAAUUAAUUAUCAUUCAUGUACAGUUAACGCACGAAUAAGUCAUCAUAUUUUCAUGUUUUAUAUUUAUUAAAAUUACAUCAGCAAUAUCGCAAUAGUCGAAUGAAAAUACAUUGUGUGACGAUGUUGAAAACUUUUAAAAUAGUAAGAUGAUUAUUGUAACGCAGUAAUUGUUGAAUGUAUCCUACCUGCAUAAUUUAUCAAUAAACGAACAGCAAUUUUGAAACUGA
Molecule: long non-coding RNA, 460 nt
Organism: Athalia rosae (coleseed sawfly)
Lineage: Eukaryota; Metazoa; Arthropoda; Insecta; Hymenoptera; Athaliidae
Exons: 2
Source: RefSeq, a predicted model, not a curated record